AUAUCUGUAAUUUUCUUAGGCUGUCCGCAUGGUUUAAUGGAUGUAAAAUAUAGGGGAGAAGUAUACCUCAUUAAAUCAUCUUGCUUAAGCAAGAAGCUCAGCGAGAUUAUUGGUUCUGGAGACGUUCUCACGCUCGCAGAGCAGAUCGUGCUUUGGUCAGGGGGUUCUUUUAUUCUCACGCUUGCUUGUCUCAGAUCGAGGAUUGGUUGGGUGAUGGGAAGAAGACGGAAGGAUUCUUGCUUUUUGGGUGAUGCGAAGAAGAUGGGAGGGUUCCGGCUUGGGUGGGCGACGAAGGGACCGGAAGGCACUCGAUUUUUGUGGCAUGGCAUAUCCGAUUCGUUUGCUCGGCUCGAUGACGAUGGGGAAUAACUAGGGCUGUUAGAACAAGAGCUGAAUAUGCAUGGCAGUAUUAGCGGUAGAGUAAAUUAGGUGAUAAGUGUUGUUUUGUAGAAUAGUUCCCAUGUCUAGCUUAAUUUGGGGAUUAACAAACUAUCAUAGCUUUGGUAUUGUGUUUAAUUCUUUUUCAUUCGUAUCGGUAUACAUAGAUCUAUAUCGCUUGCACUGGUGGAGGGCAAAAUUUGUAGCAAGGGAAAAGGAGAAAAAUGGAUUGAGGAGGAGGAGAGGACUAAGGUGUGGUGCAUCUUCUUAGUAGAUUUGGCUUUUUCCAUCUCAAUCUUGCUGCCCUAGGUUUGCGGGAUGAUCAAGGUGAGGUGAAUCCACUUUAGCUCUGCUAAUUGAUUGUUUUAGAUGAUUCUUGGAGAUGAGGAUUAGUGGAUUUGUUAGGAAAAACACGGUUUGAGAUCGAUCUAAGGUGUGCUGUCCUGUAGCUCGGGCAGUGCUGCUGUCCUUAUAGUUUUGGCAACCUAAACAAUUUUUCCUCCGAAAGUGGACCAUACAAAAGUUGUAGACGUUUGUGAGAUCUAUCUGCUGUCAAAGUUUCACAUGUUUUUGGUGGAAUAUACCUUCAGUUAUUGAAUAUUGUUUGGACACUGUUUCUAAAUAUCCAGAUUUUGACAGCAGAUGUUCAGACAUAUAUUAGAUGAUCUUAAGGAUGGAAUUCGUGGAAACACAUAAUAAAAAAGUUGUAGGUUGCCCAGAGAUGUAUGUCCUGACAAACUUUUAGAAUUUUUGGACAAG
RNAcentral lists this long non-coding RNA (1137 nucleotides) under Setaria viridis. RNAcentral describes it as "long non-coding RNA (SVIR_LNC008701)". The record is from RNAcentral. Lineage: Eukaryota; Viridiplantae; Streptophyta; Magnoliopsida; Poales; Poaceae.